CCUACGGGAGGCAGCAGUAGGGAAUUUUCGUCAAUGGGCGCAAGCCUGAACGAGCAAUGCCGCGUGAACGAGGAAGGUCUUCGGAUCGUAAAGUUCUGUUGAAGGGGAAAAAGAGCGGAGAGAGGAAAUGAACUCCGAUUGAUAUUACCAUUCGAGGUAGUCACGGCUAAUUCCGUGCCAGCAGCCGCGGUAAUACGUGGGUGGGGAGUUUUAUCGGGAUUGAUUGGGCGUAAAGGGUGCGUGGGGGGCCUGCUAAUUGUGGAGUGAAGGGUACCGGCUCAACCGGUAUAUGCACUGGAAACUGGCGGGCUAGAGUGCAGGAGAGGGCGGCGGAACUCCUGGUGUAGCGGUGAAAUGCGUAGAUAUAAGGAAGAACACCAGUGGCGAAGGCGGCCGCCUGGCCUGUUACUGACGCUGAGGCACGAAAGCGUGGGGAGCAAAUAGGAUUAGAUACCCUUGUAGUC
RNAcentral lists this ribosomal RNA (464 nucleotides) under uncultured bacterium. RNAcentral describes it as "partial 16S ribosomal RNA". It matches the Rfam family "Bacterial small subunit ribosomal RNA", at positions 338 to 795 of the family's 1533-position model. The record is from RNAcentral.